RNAcentral lists this ribosomal RNA (730 nucleotides) under Bacillus cereus. RNAcentral's name for it is "bacterial SSU rRNA". It matches the Rfam family "Bacterial small subunit ribosomal RNA", at positions 56 to 769 of the family's 1533-position model. The record is from RNAcentral. Lineage: Bacteria; Bacillati; Bacillota; Bacilli; Caryophanales; Bacillaceae.
UGCAAGUCGAGCGAUGGAUUAAGAGCUUGCUCUUAUGAAGUUAGCGGCGGACGGGUGAGUAACACGUGGGUAACCUGCCCAUAAGACUGGGAUAACUCCGGGAAACCGGGGCUAAUACCGGAUAACAUUUUGAACCGCAUGGUUCGAAAUUGAAAGGCGGCUUCGGCUGUCACUUAUGGAUGGACCCGCGUCGCAUUAGCUAGUUGGUGAGGUAACGGCUCACCAAGGCAACGAUGCGUACCCGACCUGAGAGGGUGAUCGGCCACACUGGGACUGAGACACGGCCCAGACUCCUACGGGAGGCAGCAAUAGGGAAUCUUCCGCAAUGGACGAAAGUCUGACGGAGCAACGCCGCGUGAGUGAUGAAGGCUUUCGGGUCGUAAAACUCUGUUGUUAGGGAAGAACAAGUGCUAGUUGAAUAAGCUGGCACCUUGACGGUACCUAACCAGAAAGCCACGGCUAACUACGUGCCAGCAGCCGCGGUAAUACGUAGGUGGCAAGCGUUAUCCGGAAUUAUUGGGCGUAAAGCGCGCGCAGGUGGUUUCUUAAGUCUGAUGUGAAAGCCCACGGCUCAACCGUGGAGGGUCAUUGGAAACUGGGAGACUUGAGUGCAAAAGAGGAAAGUGAAAUUCCAUGUGUAACGGUGAAAUGCGUAAGAUAUGGAGGAACACCAGUGGCGAAGGCGACUUUCUGGUCUGUAACUGACACUGAGGCGCAAAGCGUGGGGAGC